This 324-nucleotide ribosomal RNA is filed under the name Triticum aestivum (bread wheat). Its description in RNAcentral is "partial small subunit ribosomal RNA". The record is from RNAcentral. Lineage: Eukaryota; Viridiplantae; Streptophyta; Magnoliopsida; Poales; Poaceae.
AUGGUUCCAGCACAGCUGAUUGGGAUCAAAUUCAGUUUACUGACUGCUCUGAUCAGCUUGACAUUGUGUUGCACUUGGAUUGUGGUAGAUCAGGAACUAAUUUUUGCAUCUGAGCUACGGUGUUGCUGCUGCCGUAUUUUUGAUAGGUCAGGCUGGGAACAGCAUUGUUACCGCGAGUGUAUUAUCUGUAUAUCUGACAGACGGAAAAACAACUAUAUUAUUUCUGUUCAGAGUUCAGAAGAUCUAUCAUUUGUCAACACAGGCUUCUGGCUUCCUAAGAUUGGAGCAUGCCAUAUCAAUUGUGGUUCGUCCAUCAUUUGUUGA